RNAcentral lists this non-coding RNA (138 nucleotides) under uncultured Acinetobacter sp. RNAcentral's name for it is "Glycine riboswitch". It matches the Rfam family "Glycine riboswitch aptamer", at positions 7 to 88 of the family's 94-position model. Rfam says of the family: This family represents the bacterial glycine riboswitch. Glycine riboswitches usually consist of two metabolite-binding aptamers domains with similar structures in tandem. The record is from RNAcentral. Lineage: Bacteria; Pseudomonadati; Pseudomonadota; Gammaproteobacteria; Moraxellales; Moraxellaceae.
ACAAUCUGGAGAGCAGUGUUCGAUUUGAAGAAUUAUAAGAGAAAAGUUUCUUCUACGAUUAACACUCACCGAAGGGGAAGGCUUAAUGAUUAAUUGGUAAUCAUCUGCCAAAACUCUCAGGUACCAUGACAGAUGGGG